GAUGAACGCUGGCGGCGUGCCUAAUACAUGCAAGUCGAGCGAACGGACGAGAAGCUUGCUUUUCUGAUGUUAGCGGCGGACGGGUGAGUAACACGUGGAUAACCUACCUAUAAGACUGGGAUAACUUCGGGAAACCGGAGCUAAUACCGGAUAAUAUUUUGAACCGCAUGGUUCAAAAGUGAAAGACGGUCUUGCUGUCACUUAUAGAUGGAUCCGCGCUGCAUUAGCUGGUUGGUAAGGUAACGGCUUAUCAAGGCAACGAUGCAUAGCCGAACUGAGAGGGUGAUCGGCGACACUGGAGCGGAGACACGCUCCAGACUCCUACGGGAGGCAGCAGUAGGCAAUCUUACGCAAUGGGCGAAAGCCUGACGGAGCAACGCCGCGUGAGUGAUGAAGGUCUUCGGAUCGUAAAACUCUGUUAUUAGGGAAGAACAUAUGUGUAAGUAACUGUGCACAUCUUGACGGUACCUAAUCAGAAAGCCACGGCUAACUACGUG
This 497-nucleotide ribosomal RNA is filed under the name uncultured bacterium. RNAcentral's name for it is "partial 16S ribosomal RNA". It matches the Rfam family "Bacterial small subunit ribosomal RNA", at positions 28 to 507 of the family's 1533-position model. The record is from RNAcentral.